ACUCUGAUUGUGUGCUUGCUGUAAAUAUGGACAAAAAGCAAACUUCUUCAAUUGGAAAUUGGUGGCUUUUAGGUGGGUAUACAGAUAGCAAUCUAUAUCCAUAAAGGUCCUCCAUACAUAU
This 121-nucleotide small nucleolar RNA is filed under the name Amborella trichopoda. The record is from RNAcentral. Lineage: Eukaryota; Viridiplantae; Streptophyta; Magnoliopsida; Amborellales; Amborellaceae.